GGGAGGACGAGCGGGAGCGCGGAGUUGUUGGAAGAGCCCUCAGGAGCCGCCAGCCGGGCUCUCGAGUCGGGUGGGAGCGGUCGGCUGGGCCCGGCCCGAUUCCAUUUUGCCCAUGCUGGUGCUCUUCUUUGUGUAGCUGUGUAGCUUCCAGGCCAUACAGGUGCUUCAGAUGAAAGAAAUGGUAUCUGAUGCUUGGGGACAAGCAUGCGGUUUUGCAGCUCAAGAAGCCUUCUUACCAGCUUGCUCAUGUUGUGCUGUCCUGGUGUUGAAAGGAGAAGUUUUCAUGAUAGUCGCUUGGAGUGGUGAGAUUGCUCAUUUGCCUCCAAAGAGUAAGUGCUCGUCUGCUAUUCUGGCAGCCUGUGGCUCCGCCAUGGCCACAGAUCAUGACUAUAACAGGACUCGUCAGGAUUUUGGCUCCUCCUUUUCUGUUGCUUCCUCUCAGGCUUCCGUGGAGAGUCCUGCAGACAGUGUGCACACAGGUUUGUGUCCC
This 490-nucleotide long non-coding RNA is filed under the name Gallus gallus (chicken). RNAcentral describes it as "lncRNA (ENSGALG00010000065.1)". Lineage: Eukaryota; Metazoa; Chordata; Aves; Galliformes; Phasianidae. The record is from RNAcentral.